CAGCCGCCGCGGGAAAACGAAGGGGGCUAGCGUUGUUCGGAUUUACUGGGCGUAAAGCGCACGUAGGCGGACUUUUAAGUCAGGGGUGAAAUCCCGGGGCUCAACCCCGGAACUGCCUUUGAUACUGGGAGUCUUGAGUUCGAGAGAGGUGAGUGGAAUUGCGAGUGUAGAGGUGAAAUUCGUAGAUAUUCGCAGGAACACCAGUGGCGAGGGCGGCUCACUGGCUCGAUACUGACGCUGAGGUGCGAAAGCGUGGGAAGCAAACAGGAUUAGAUACCCCAGUAGUCCCUGUCUCUUAUAU
This 301-nucleotide ribosomal RNA is filed under the name uncultured bacterium. RNAcentral describes it as "partial 16S ribosomal RNA". It matches the Rfam family "Bacterial small subunit ribosomal RNA", at positions 509 to 809 of the family's 1533-position model. The record is from RNAcentral.